GCCGCCACCUCGCCCUGCCUGGGCGGGGUUGGGACCUUUCUGGCACCUGCGUCGAAGCCGGCGGCAGGAUGGACUUUGUUGUCCCGGUCCCAGACCAGCCUCCUCCACCGUCGCCUCCCACUGCAAAAAGGCCUGGAUAAGGAACCUAAUUCGAGCUACCCUUCUCUGUGAAGCUCGACGGCUGAGAACGUCAGGGCUCGUUCCCAAGUCUCUUUCCAGAGGCCAGGCUUUAUGGGAGCAUGGGUUACCAGCGACGCACCCUGUGAGGAUGCAGUGUCCAAGGCACCAUCUUGAACUCAUCAUCGCCAAAUAUGUGAGCACCUUGAUGUUGGACUUCCCAACCUCCAGACCCUGACAGGACUUCCACACCCAUGCUCCUCUCGGCACCUUUCACCCAGCCCAAGCAGCGGCGGCCCAGUGGUGGAAAAGGUGCCACGGCCAAACGGAUUGGAGACUCACCCCGCAUUCUAGGCCGGAGAAGCGGGCGGGCUUGGGAUGCCGGCAGGAGGCAAUGACUCUCCCCAGGCGCUGCAUCCUGGCUCCGGGGCACAAGCGCCUCUCCGCCCUGACGCUGAUGCUCGUCUGGCUGCCCGUUCUUUGGCAUCAAAAUACCAGACGAUGGUGGCGCACCCUGUGGCCUGGGCUGCCUCACCUCAUUCGGUCCCGCCUAGAAAGACCAGAGGACCAGAAAACCAGAAGCCUGUCAGAGCGACUAGAGGCUGGCUCCAGCCAACAGCCGCGCGCCUCAGCGUCCACGAGGGUUACCUGGGUAACGCGCCGCUUGGGCUCGGCGCCCAGCCGAUGACGUAACCCGCGCUUGCGUAGUGGCGCCGCCCUGAUGUGUAGUCUCCAGGCCGCCACCCCCGAACACCAGCCC
RNAcentral lists this non-coding RNA (877 nucleotides) under Pan troglodytes (chimpanzee). Lineage: Eukaryota; Metazoa; Chordata; Mammalia; Primates; Hominidae. The record is from RNAcentral.